UGAACGCUGGCGGCAGGCCUAACACAUGCAAGUCGAGCGGAUGACAGGAGACUUGCUCCUGAAUUCAGCGGCGGACGGGUGAGUAAUGCCUAGGAAUCUAGCCUGGUAGUGGGGGACAACGUUUUCGAAAGGAACGCUAAUACCGCAUACGUCCUACGGGAGAAAGCAGGGGACCUUCGGGCCUUGCGCUAUCAGAUGAGCCUAGGUCGGAUUAGCUAGUUGGUGAGGUAAUGGCUCACCAAGGCGACGAUCCGUAACUGGUCUGAGAGGAUGAUCAGUCACACUGGAACUGAGACACGGUCCAGUACUCCUACGGGAGGCAGCAGUGGGGAAUAUUGGACAAUGGGCGAAAGCCUGAUCCAGCCAUGCCGCGUGUGUGAAGAAGGUCUUCGGGAUUGUAAAGCACGUUUAAGUUGGGAGGAAGGGGUUGUAGAUUAAUACUCUGCAAUUUUGACGUUACCGACAG
RNAcentral lists this ribosomal RNA (466 nucleotides) under uncultured bacterium. RNAcentral's name for it is "bacterial SSU rRNA". It matches the Rfam family "Bacterial small subunit ribosomal RNA", at positions 30 to 484 of the family's 1533-position model. The record is from RNAcentral.